AUUGAACGCUGGCGGCAUGCCUUACACAUGCAAGUCGAACGGCAGCGGACCUUCGGGUGCCGGCGAGUGGCGAACGGGUGAGUAAUAUAUCGGAACGUACCUUUCAGUGGGGGAUAACGUAGCGAAAGUUACGCUAAUACCGCAUAUUCUGUGAGCAGGAAAGCAGGGGAUCGCAAGACCUUGCGCUGAUUGAGCGGUCGAUAUCAGAUUAGGUAGUUGGUGGGGUAAAGGCCUACCAAGCCUACGAUCUGUAGCUGGUCUGAGAGGACGACCAGCCACACUGGGACUGAGACACGGCCCAGACUCCUACGGGAGGCAGCAGUGGGGAAUUUUGGACAAUGGGCGCAAGCCUGAUCCAGCCAUGCCGCGUGCGGG
RNAcentral lists this ribosomal RNA (375 nucleotides) under uncultured bacterium. RNAcentral's name for it is "bacterial SSU rRNA". It matches the Rfam family "Bacterial small subunit ribosomal RNA", at positions 30 to 407 of the family's 1533-position model. The record is from RNAcentral.